GAGAAAGCGCGCUGCGUGCGGCCCCGCUGCCCAGAGCCUGCCAGCAGCGCGCCCUCGGCGGCUCCGGUCCCAACCGCGCCCGCCGCCUCGCCUCCUCCGCCUCGGCCGCGUCCGGACUCCCGGGCUCGCCCGGCCUCUCGGAGGUCCCCGCCCGCCCCGGCUCCCUGCAGCGCCGCCCGGCUCCAGCCCCGCAGCUCGCUCGCCCGCCCGCCGGGGAAAGGAAGCAAGCGGGCGAGCGCGCCCUCGCUUCAGCCCCGCGCCCCAGCCCUGCGCGGCGACGAAGGACCGGGAAGAUGAACGGCGGAGGCAAAGCCGAGAAGGAGAACACCCCGAGCGAGGCCAACCUCCAGGAGGAGGAGGUCCGGACCCUAUUUGUCAGUGGUCUGCCCCUGGACAUCAAACCCCGGGAGCUGUACCUGCUCUUCAGACCAUUCAAGGGCUAUGAAGGUUCUCUUAUAAAGCUCACAUCUAAACAGCCUGUAGGUUUUGUCAGUUUCGACAGUCGUUCAGAAGCUGAGGCCGCAAAGAACGCUUUGAACGGCAUCCGUUUCGAUCCUGAAAUCCCGCAAACACUACGACUAGAGUUUGCUAAGGCAAACACGAAGAUGGCCAAGAACAAACUCGUAGGGACUCCAAACCCCAGUACUCCUUUGCCCAACACUGUACCUCAGUUCAUUGCCAGAGAGCCAUACGAGCUCACAGUGCCCACACUUUACCCCAGUAGCCCUGAAGUGUGGGCUCCGUACCCUCUGUACCCAGCGGAGUUAGCGCCUGCUCUUCCUGCUGCUGCUUUUACCUACCCCGCCUCACUGCAUGCCCAGAUGCGCUGGCUCCCUCCCUCCGAGGCUACUUCUCAGGGUUGGAAGUCCAGACAGUUCUGCUGAAGGCUGUGUCUCGGGUGUGUGAUGGCGGCUGCAAUCUGUCUUGGGGGUAUUAAUGCGAUCUUCACUGAUGGCGACUGUCAUCCAGCUGUUCUGCAAAACUGGAGCUUGCUGGUUUGAAAAUGCCUUGCCCAGUUUUGAUCCCUUCAAGACUUUGCCACAGCCUCUAUCACACAUCUGUUUUCCUCAAAGAAAAAAAAACAUAUAAUAAAAUGUGUUUUACUCUUUUACACUGUAUAAUUUUAAGAAAUACGUGUUAUUUGUGAAUGCAUGGUCUGACAUUGCUGUACAGUUUGGAGACAUCCUCGGAUAGAACAAAGACAACAGUAAAGCCAAGACGGUUAGUAUUUUUCUAACAGACAUUUUAAGAAUGGAAGGAUGAGUUCUUACACUAGGUUAGCUCACUUUUGCGCUUCAUUUCUGAAUGCUUUUAAUGUUUAUCUCGUUUUUUUUUUCUAAUAAGCUGCAUGUUUGAGGCAUGUCUCUGAAUAGCAUCGGAACUUCCACAAAUGUGUUGUGAAUAUGUGGACUCCAUCUGCCUGGCCCAGAGUUAGGGCACAUUUUAGUAACAUGGUGUAGAAAUGAACUCUGCAAGAUAACCAAAGCCCCCAGGAACAUCUGUAUUCACAACUGGGCAAAGACUACUACCUAGGUCAUGUAUCCUGAGCACAGUGUACCAUUUGAAAACCAUGGUGGCUCUGGCUGCAACAACACAGGCUGUGUCAAGUGAAGUAUUGCCAUUGUAGACUUGUAUUUAUUAUGUUCUUACGUUCCCCCCUAAGUGCAGGGACCUUGGUUUGGACCUCUGAGGCCCACAUGGCCUCGGGAGAGGCAGGCUGGCCACCCAGCUUGCUUGGCUGCAAUGGGCAUCACAUCUUAAAGUGAAUGUGCACAGCACAUCUGAGCUGGUGUUCUAAAGCCUGACAGCCAUCUGUCAUAGUGUGUGCUCGUGCAUCCUCAGCCUACCCACUACACUGCACUGGGUGGAACAGGUAACCAUGGCCAUUCACACUUUGCUGCAAAACUUCUUCAAAACCCAAAGUUAGUCUUGUUGUAAACCAAUAGGUUUCCAGAGGCUUCUCCCACUCCUCAGAGAAGAGAACAUGUGUAAUAAUCUAUUGACCUCAGAAUUUCCAGCUGCUGAUAUAGCUAGACAUAAUCACAAUCUUUGUAUCUUUGUUAUUGAUCUGCUUGUGUUGUGUUGAAAACGUCAUGUUUUAAUGAUUAAAUCAUUGGUUGGGGGGGUUAUUAUUUUUCAUUAGAAUUAAUAAUGUCAAAUUUUUACAGGUUAUUCCAAAACAGGAAAAAGGAACACCAAGGCCUGGAGUAAGAGCCUUUCACUAAAACUAGAGCAAAGGGGCGGGCAGGGGCUGGGGACUUAGGACAUCCACGCUAGUGUCUAGGACUGCUCGUGCCCUCAGUGCCACUUGGCUUUGAGAUUCCUACUUGCUUUAAAAAAAGAGCGCCACUUCACCAACGAUUAUGCUUUUAUAAAUUGUGUAAAGGUACUUUUCUAUUGUUGUUUUUAAAAAUAAUAAUAAAGUUUAUUCCAGCUAUUA
Molecule: RNA transcript, 2440 nt
Organism: Phodopus roborovskii (desert hamster)
Lineage: Eukaryota; Metazoa; Chordata; Mammalia; Rodentia; Cricetidae
Gene: Rbpms
Gene name: RNA binding protein, mRNA processing factor
Exons: 9
Source: RefSeq, a predicted model, not a curated record